Molecule: long non-coding RNA, 970 nt
Filed under: Sorghum bicolor (sorghum)
Lineage: Eukaryota; Viridiplantae; Streptophyta; Magnoliopsida; Poales; Poaceae
Description: long non-coding RNA (SBIC_LNC007542)
Source: RNAcentral
GCCUCUUGUUUUUGUUUUCUUUUUUUUUUUGAAGGUGCCAACUAUGGUCUUGUUUCGCAAUCUUUUUUGAUUCAACUAGUGUAAUACUUUCAUUUGUAUUUGACAAUUAUUGUUCAGCCAUGGACUAACUAAGAGCAGUGGCGUAGCCAGAGGGUGGUAGCAGGGGCCAUGGCACCCCCAGUGGUCUAAAAAUUUCUUAAACAACCCUGCUUCAGCCAUCAUAGUAAUAGGUAUUUGAAAGGAAAGAAAUUCUUGAACCAAGCCUUACCCUCAUCUUGCCCUCCCUAGUUUUUUGUCUGGCUCCGCCUCUGACUAAGAGCAUCUCCGAAUUGGCUAAAAUUACUAGUCAAAUUCUAUUGUUUAGUCAUUUUGUAAAAUAGAAAACUUUUUAAAAAAUAAGAGAUCCACAACAGCCAUACUAUUUUUUUUCUCGAAUACGCAAGAGAAUUGCGUAUCAUUGCAUUGAGAAGGAAACAAUUUGAGUACAAAAAGACCGGCUUAGCCGGGGAUCUUGAGGCUACAUUCUAAAGUAACUAUCAACUGCAAAAAGAUGGAGUUCAGGCUCUUAACGAUCAGCUAGCACCCUUAACCCCAGUGCCCCUGCAUCGAUCCAGCGAUCUGCCUCCAUUUUGUUGAGUUGCAGCAGCUCAGCAACCGGCGCCGUCGCAUCUCUGAAGCAUCUUGCGUUCCUUUCCUUCCAUAUCUGCCACGACACCAAGGCAAACAGAGAGUCCAGCCUCUUCCAUUGCGUACCUUCAGCAAGCUUCCGCAGCCUGCGCCACCAACUUAGUGUUGUCCGAGCCUGCAGUGGCAUCUGGAGGCCAAGCGCCUGCAGCCAUACUAUUUUACAAAAUGAGAUGACUAGUGUCAGUGGUUGACUAUAUAUGGCCACCAAAAAUCAAAGGAUAGCCAAUUUUCUAUUUUAUAAAACCAGAUAGCAUAUCUGUUGGAGUCUACUUUUUUGUUAUGC